CAAAACAGAGAAAGAAUUGAUAAGCAUAUUUCGCAGUUUUCUUGAUGGCGGAGUGCAUCGCCCACAUAAUGCAGUGAGCAUUUGUCGUGCAGAAAGCAAUGAACAACAGCAGCACCACACACAUCUUUUCCGAUAAGAAUGAGCCACGGCUAACCUGGCCAUGAAGGGUUUCCACAAGUCGAACAUUUCGGUUUUGGAGAAAAAAGAUCUAUGAAGACGCAGCAGCGGUAGACGCGAAUAUUUGCUGAGAGGCAUCAAAAAAUCAAUAUAACCGAUUUUUAGAUGCUCGAGAAUACUAUUCGCAGACUGAGUGCAGUCGUAAAAUUAUGCGUUAACAUGGUGAUAUAACGAGAAAAUACCGGAACAAUAACAGUGCCGUAUUACGUGAGUGUUUCGAUGAUGUUGUGAAGUGUCUUGAGGAGCAAAAUCGACGCCACUCCA
This is a long non-coding RNA of Toxorhynchites rutilus septentrionalis, 441 nucleotides long. RefSeq lists it as uncharacterized. Lineage: Eukaryota; Metazoa; Arthropoda; Insecta; Diptera; Culicidae. The transcript has 3 exons. The record is from RefSeq and is a predicted model, not a curated record.